UUUUUUUUUUUUUGAGGUAUUACAUUUUUUUCGUGAAAAUUCUUUAAGGUAUUGCUGUGCCGUCCGCCGGAGGAGAUAAAGAAAUUAAUGCCAUUCUUGGCACUUCCAUAAACUAGUAGUACUAUGUUUUUAUAUUUAGUGAUAACAAAUUAUUUUUCCACAGAUCAUGAAAUAUAAUACUUUGUAAACAAGUUAAUCUGCACGUACAUUGAACCUGAGCCGCUUCAUUUCUCAAUCCUAGUUGCCAGCUCUGAAGCAAUCCGAGCCAGCAAUCAGCAGUUACUGAAAUGAAGAAAAAAAAUGCACGUCUUUUCGUCGGAAAAAUGCAUUGUGCAUACAGCCAUACACUGAUUUUGACUUUGAUCUCGUGCUUCAUCUCUACUCAACUUCUACAAAAUAAGUCAAAUGGUGUUCUGUUGCAGGAAAGUCAAAUGGUGCUGCAAACGAAAUUAAAUGUUUUUUUCCCUUCUGAAGACAUGCUCUGCGAUUUGGUACAUGAACCUGUCAAAACCGGUAUCUGCGAGAACUGGACCGGAGGAAGAUUUUGAUCCCGAGCUUUGUUUCUAUUCAAGCCGACAAAAUAAAUCAAAUGGUGUUUUUGUUUUUGAAGGAAGUCAGAUGGUGUUGUAAACCAAAUUAAAUGGUUUUUCCUUCCCUGAAGACCUGCUCUCUGAUUUGGUACACGAACCUGUUGAAACCAGUAUAUCUGUAUGAACAUUGCUUUGUCUCCUAUUCAUUUCCCACUACAAAAAGGGCCAUGAAUCUUUAAAGGAGUGUACACAACAGCAGCACAUAAUUACUGAACUUUCCUUCUCCCCCCUUUUGACAACUAAUGGAGGCAUCUAUAUCUUAGCUUUGGCAUGGCCUGAAAGGAAAACGGCAAUAAAAAGUGGUUUGACUUCGGUCAAAGCGUGGUGGCGCGCCAAUGCUUCUGGGACCUCACGACCACGAAGGGCGCUGACUUCCAUCAUGCUACUGACUUCUUGGGAAAUUUGGAAAGAGCGAAAUGUGGGUGUGCUUGUUGCUCGAAUCAAAGAGGAAGCCUCAUGGUGGUGCCGUGCUGGGGCAAAAUAUUUGUGUAAUGUAAUGCCGCGAGAGUGAGGAUUGUAACUCGGCCGCUGGCCUCGACUCUAAAACCUUCUUCUUAUUUAAUGAAAAUGGCAAGUCUUUUGCCUUGUUUCAAAAAAAUAAAAAAUAAAAAGUGGUUCAAUUAGGGCCCUGCAUGAACUGGCUUCAACUAGGGAUCAGCUUUCAGGGGAAUAAUUCUCUUUUGCUUGUUUACUUGCAAUGGAUUGGGCCCUCCUGUCCUCCAUAUACACAAGGAGAAAUAUGCUGGUGCUGUACUGCAUUGUGUUGUGUGGACCAAAUCUUUAGCCAAUUAACCCGAUUCUCUGAUUCGAUGUACAUAUUCACCUACUGACUGAUUGAUUGAUUGAUUUUGUCUACUGAUCUUACAUGCUCCAGGUAAUUCCUCCACUUGUAAUCCUACUAGGCACCGCGAAUGCGGAUUAUUAGGAACCUUUUAAUUUGGAAUGGAACAGUUCAAUGUACAGAAGUCCUGUAAGUUGCAGAGGAGUGUAUUACAGUAGAGCUGGUUGUACGACCUGGUACUUUUGUGCAGCUUUGGUUGUUUAAUUAAGAACAAAGUAUGAUGAACUGACAAAGAAAAUAAAAUGAAGGAUCUUCAGGCCGCAAUUCCAAAGCCAGUAUAAUUUGGUUUCCGAUGUAUCUCUUGGCCGAAUGAAAAUAUUUCCUGUAUCAGGUGAGUAAUAAUAUUGAAGUGAGCUGAGGGUAGCCGAUUGUGUAGCUUUGUGGAGGUGACGUCCGCUUGAAAAGAGGCUUGCAAACAAUAGUGGGGAGGAAAAGAAGAGCCGAAAAAGGAAGGAAAGAAAGAUAUGUGUCAUCUAACAUAAACGGAAUGCAUGCUUUUCUAAAAGCGAUGGAGCGAUGAACGUCAUAACGACUUUGAUAAGAUGUUGUGAGGGGCCAUAUGAGCAUCACUGGCUAAAUCUUGAUCAUUAAGCUAACGGAGAAGAGGCUAUAAUAUUCAGGCAACAGGUAAGCUAGCUGACUUAACUGUUUUACUUGCUCUGCAACAAUCAGCAGUCAGCCAUGCAAAACAUGAUGCCCGCAGUAAUUUGUAAAUGCAUCAACGCAAGUAUUUCUAUUUUUGCAAAAAUAAGAUAAUGUUUCUAUUUUAAUAAUAACAGAGAAUUCAUCUUGAAUUGCUUGGUCUGAGUUUUUCCUGAACUUUCUAAAACAGUUUACCAUAAAUUCUAGCGAGUAAAUGGCACUGACGGUCUUAGAACUUGCGUUGCGGGUGCACUUAAGUCACACUACUUUCAAACCGGAAAAACCCAUCACAGAACUUGCGUUGCGGGUGCAUUUAAGUCACAGAGGUGAGCUGAACCGGUCGGACGCCCAGUUUUCUCUGUUUUGCGGUCAUGCGCAGGGCACGUGACACCUCCGAGGAAUGGUAUUUUUACUGAAAAGUCCGUACUGAUUUAGUUGGAGGGCCAUAUUGCAAAACCGCUAGAUGGUGAUGAUCACCGAGGAGAUGACGGAGGGUGGCAGCGCCGCCGUGGCUAGCAGGAGCACCUCUUCCUAUUUUCCCACGCGUCCACCGAGUAACCGAAGGGCGCACCACAUGUCACUGCGCCCAUCGUCAGUCGCCUUGAACACAGCCGCGCGUCCAGCUCUCCUGCAGCUACGAACAGUUGCCGCUGCCCUGCAGCUACGCGUUGUUGCUCUGCCAUGCUGCUCCAGCCUCCAGCAACCGAGCUCUGGGCACCGCUGCCAUGACGCACACGAGCUCGGCCACCGCGAUCUCCCGCACCGCCCUGAGCCAAGUCAGCCGCCCAGCUCCACGCCUCGGUUCCCUUUCACGGUGCUGUGAGCCAUCCCAUCCCCGCUGCAGUGGCUUGUGCACCUAGUCGCUGCCGGUCGGUGCUGCGUGCCGCCAUAACCAGCAGCGGCAGCAACCAUCGUCCUACCUGCCGGCUCACGUAUGGCGUGCCGAGAAAAGGCUGCCUCACAUGCAGCUCACAUCGAGAACCAGGUACGCGAGGACUAGGCGCUGCUGCAGACGACAGCAUGCCUCACCGGGUGUCUCGAACGCACCCUCACGCCAUGGCAAGGUGGGGGUGGCAGCGUCCGACUUGAGCCUCUUCGAUUCCUGGCACCUUCUUCUCCUUCGCGUGCACGGAUGGCGCCAGCGGUGGCACACAGUAGCACGGCACAGCAGCACGGCACAAUAGCACAUCCUUCCAAGAAGAUCAUGAACUCGAGCAAGCAUAUUCAAUUUGUAUUAGCUGCCAGCCACUACUGACAUCGAUGGUGUACCAUUGCAAGUUUGCAACUUACAUAUUCCAUACAGAACUCAGGUCAGAGGCUUCAGCUUUUUAUCGAGCACCUCUCGCUCGUCGCCAUCUCCCCCAGUACACCAGAGCCUUGGUGCCCCACCUGCGCCUGCCCGCCAUUGGUCGCCACGCUCUAUGGCAGCACGCGUGUCCUCUCCAUCGUCCCCUACGAGGCCGCCUACACCUUCACGCACGUAAGUCGGCCGCAUCCCAUCCGCACCUGCCGCCGCAUGCCUCCUCCUCCAAGCCGCCGACACUGACCCAACCACUACACGCGUCCUCCUCGACCACCACCACAACAACCCACCAUCCUGGGCAGGACUGCAUGCGGCUCUACAAAGACGAGGUCGGCUGCCCGCACCGCACUGCAUCUGCCUCUCUGCUCUAGGGACUCCAUCGUCGGAUUCACCAUCGUCGGCGAUGGCUGACUUGCCGUCGACGAGCUCGACGCGCCAGCAGCGCCGCCUGUCUCUUCUCCCAUCGGCAAAGAACACGAACAGACAGAGAACAAAGGAGAGGGGGCUAUGCAACAUUAGCUGAGGAUCCAGAGGUCUUUGUGCAAGAAAAUGAUGCAGCCCAGAGGCGUCACGUGCGCUGCGCGUGACCGCAAAACAGAGAACCGGGCGUCCGACCGGUUCAACUCGCCUCUGUGACUUAAAUGCACCCGCAACGCAAGUUCUGUGACGGGUUUUUCCGUUUUGCAAGUAGUGUGACUAAAGUGCACCCGCAGCGCAAAUUCUAAGACCGCCAGUGUCAUUUACUCAAUUCUAGCUGGGUUUUGUGUCCCGACACCCUCAGUAAAUGUGAAGGGAUCACGGAGUUGAUUGUUGAUUCUUUAUCCAACCGAAAUAAGGCAGUUAAAUAUUUGCAGAAUCAUGUGUUAUUUAAGUAUUUCAGAAAUGUGGAACUAGGCAGUGCAUAUUUAUGCUUACAACAAACCUUCUGUUCCAAGUUCUGACUUGACCUAUCACUAGAAACAAUAACAUCAGAAUGUCGUACGUACAUUGGACGCAUGCUUAGGCGUUUGGAAAUUAGAAUAUCGGAACAGUUUCGAGAGUUACAACAAACAUGCCGACAAGUUUUCCGUUAGUGCGUACAUGCGUAUGGUUGGUGUAGAUUGUCCCUCGAUCGCUGCCAGUCCGCUUGCUCCACUGGCGGACUACUUGCUAGCUAGCUCUGUCGCGUGAGGAGCAAGGUGAUUAGGCAAGCAGAGGAAGGCCAGUGCGCUGCCGUUGAGCCGAUGCUAUCACACCAACCAUCCGAUGCAAGUGGAGGGUUCUAUGCGCGCGCGAUUAUUUGAUCGUUUAGCUAUUGAUCACAGUUUAUUAUUGUAGUAGAUUACCAGUGUAGUGCUUGUUUGGCGCAUGACAUUUGCGUUUAAAGUUGUGCAGUAUCCGCCGAGGUGGCGUUGUUUAGUGCUGUUGAUGGCGAUUGGCAGGAGUUAGCUCGCGUUGAUCCAUCAGGUUGGUAGGCAGGCUCGUGCACCUUCAUCCAUCAGCAGCUUCUUGGUGCGUUUUCGGAUCACAGGAAUCCAAAUUUUUAGGGGUUGCCGGUAGAACACGACGAGAAGAAAUGAAAAAUGCAACUGUUUUGUUCAUAUCCAGCCGGAGUGUAAUGGAAUGCCAUCCAUCGGCACGUACGUACAUCAACCGACGCUUGAAGAGAGAGUAGGGGUUUUCAAUGGGAAGAAAUGCAUCAGCAGUUAAGAUAUUUCUGAGCUUGGUUGGUCAGCGCGUAAUGCAUAGCUUAAUCUUAACAAGCACGAGGACAGCGCUAGCAUCAGGGAAGGAGCAGGUUGUUGAUGUCGUGCUUCUGACAAUGAUCGACCUCGACCUGACAGCCAUUUGGGGACUGUAGGUUACGUACGGGGAGGCUUAUCUGUCUGUCUAUCUACCCUUGGCUGCUUGCUGUGCCACUGAGACUUCAGCACUCAACUGUUCUGAAUCUGCUUCUUAACAAACAGUUUUCCCGGACCGGAUCAAUUAUUCUCCUCAGCCAUUGCCGUCGAGAGCGCGAUAGAGCACGAGACAAAAGCCCACACACAUGGACACCAUGAUUCAGGAAGGAGGAGGUUGGGCUGCGCGCUUCAUGCACAUACACACCAUACACGAGCACGUCUACCUUCUCAUUAUAUUUUCUUACUCGGUGUCACUCGGAAUCGCGAUCUUUCGGCAUCCUGGGCAGUUGGCUGAAAACAAUGUGUACGGAGCUGUCGAUCUUGUGGCACUGACGCCCAUUAGCUGAAAGUACGAGGAGGAAGGCAGGAUGCUAAUUAUCACCGAAGAUGCUAAGCUGCUGCUAACUAACCAUGCUCUGGCAAUUCCCGGGAAAAAAAAGCUCUGGCAAUAGUGCAUUGGGGCUAAGAGCAUCUCCAACGGCGAUCCGCAAAUUUUCUCCCGCAUCCGUCCGGAGACACAGAUGCGGGAGACCGCCAUACAACGUUGCCCGCAUACAUUGCAAACACUAUCUGAACAACCGGACGAAAUUUGUGCAAACACAACCGGAUUUUCAUACAAACCGGGUGAAGUUCAUGCAAACACUGCAUAUUUUCAAUAGAUUUCAUAUAAACCUGACAGAAUUCAUUGCAUUUCGGACAUAGUUCAACUAAAAGCGGUGCCCGUUCGACUCUACAGGUAUAAUACCUAAACUAAAAGAUCGCCCGUGCCUAUACCCCAUCUCCGGCCAUGAGACCCUUGGCUGCUUGCUGUGCCACUGAAACUUCAGCACUAUCUGCUGCCUAACAAACAGUUUUCGCAACCGGAUCAAUUAUUUUCCUCGGCCAUUGCCGUCGACUGGGUGUGACGUGGCAAGGCCAGGACGAUAGAUAGAGCACGAGUCAAAAGCCCACACACCAUGAUUCAGGAAGGAGAGGUUGGGCCUGGGCUCUUCAUGCACGUACACCGUACACGCUAUACAUGAGCACAUCUACUUUCUCGUUAUAUUUUCUUACUCCUUCACCCGGAAUCGCGUUCUUCCGGCAUCUCGGGCAGUUGGCUGAAAACAAUGUGGACCGAGCUGUCCAUCUUGGCACACACCCAUUAGCUGAAAGUACAGCAUUACGGUUACGGACGAAACUAAGCUGCUAAACUAACCAAGCAGCUCUGGCAAUAAUGCAUGCAUGGGGGUUAAGGAAAGGCAUCCCACCUAAACCGUGGACUGAUUAGCGUAAAGUGGGUGAUCAUAGGGAGGAUGCAUGGUUUGGUUGGCAGGAUCGUGACCUCGUGUCGACAAUAAAAGCAAGCACGUAUGACUUUACCAGAAUGUGUAUGGUGGAAUUUCCUCAAAGGAUCGCAAGUGACGUUCGUGGGCUCUCUCCUUAUCGAAUCCGCGCUGGGGAAAGGUGAUCGCGUGCACAAAUUACUCUUUUUUAUCCUCCAAUUGGAUGUCCCGAGGUCUUAGAAAUGAUUGCUGCUAGUGGCUCUCUCUAGUACGCUUUAGUCGCUGAGGCAUCCACUCAACAAAAUGUCGACAGAGCCGAUACGUCAAACCUCCUCACUUCACGUACAUACACAUAGUGAAAUCUAGGGAAAAUGACACAAAGAGGGGAACUCGUGUACGCUUGAUGAGCUCAAAAUAUUGGAGGAAGAGAGGUUGAGAGUGAGCAAAGAACCAAGCGGAAGGUCGAGGAGUGCCAAAUCAUGUUUAUGGAUGCGAACGAAAUGAUGUAUGAAAUGGCAAAAUGAUAGUGGCAACUCACUCUCAUGGAGAGAUCUUGGCAAUCCCUUGGUUUUAUAGUGGUGGGCGAGUGGUAGUGAUUACAAUGGGAGUGCGUGAUGUAUGUUUAAUAUGGUGCCUUCUGGCUUCUGGUGAGUAUGUGAUAUGUGGUGACUGUUCAUGAACUAUAUUAAAUGCGGUCGCUUUUGGAUUCCCUAUGUUGGAAUGGUAUGUGGAUUGAAUUUUAAAAAAAUUACUUUUUGUGUUGAAUUGUUUAAAUUGUUAUAGAAACAUUUGAAUUAUCGUUGAAAGGUUCAAUUUAUUUAUAAUGGCGGAAAAAUUCAAACCAUGUGUGCAAGGACAUAAAUAAAUAUAGAAGGUAUAUGGUGUUCAGUUUAGCGGAAGAACUAUGUGCAAGAGCUUUAAACCCUCAAAUUUUAGAGAUUCAAGUCAAAAUGUGAUUAAGAGAGGUAGGUUUCAGGAAAAGAGGCAGAGAAAUAGAGAUGCUCUUAGCUCGCGGGCGGGUGCUGAGGCUGGGAACCCCACUCUGCCCUCGGUGUGGUAUGGGCGCCGAGAGGCCCUAUUCAACGCUCAGUGCCUGGAAUUGCUGGCAAACAAACAUGGCACAUGCUCUCUCUCUCUCUCUCUCUCUCUCUCUCUGUGUGUGUGUGUGUGUGUGUGUGUGUGUGUGUGUUUCACUAUCUCGUUUUUUUGUUACUCAAUGUUUUCAUUCGGUUUUCUUUUGGUUUUCCAUAGAACAUGAACAUUUCUUGAAAAAAGGGAACACUUAUUUAAGUAACAUAAACAUUUCAUAAACUAACACUUUAAAUUACAUGAACAUUCUUUAAGAAAAUACAUAAACAUAAAAAAAAUUAACAUGUAUUGCAAAAAUGUUUCCUAUGUUGAAAAUGUUUUUUUAAAUAUCAUCAUUAGCUGAAAAAUAUUUACAAAUGAUAAAAUGAUAUCAAGUUUUUAAACAUUUUUUAAUUCACAAUUUUAAAUUAUAAUCAUGUGUUCGGAAUAUUUUAAAAAUGUUAUCAAACUUUAUUAUAUUUUAAAGAAAGGGAAAAAUAAAACCAUAAAACAAAACAAAAAUAACUCAGUAUGGCUCACAAAAAACAAAAGAUAAUUGAUGGUAAUAACUUGAAGGAAAUUUUCCAGUGUGGACCGAAAAGAAAGCAAUCUAAAUAGGCAGAGCACAGCGCAACGACAGCUGUGCAUUAGGUCAACUCUUGGGGGUUCAAAUAGGAGGGAAAGCCACUGGCGAGUGACGCCUACAAUCGAACGUGCGAUGCCAUUGCCGCAUGGCAAACCCUAGUUGACGCCACAUGCGUCAUCUAGUUGGCGCGACGCCCAAAAGAAGCGAUGUGGGCCUGCCAGUUUCAUGGUUCACAACAGGCGCUCUGUUUCGUUUGCUAUAUGAAUUUUAAGUUUGCUAACCACAUGUCCCAUGCGGUACUCUGUUUCGUUUGCUUUUUUUUUGUUUGAAGAAAUGCCAUUUUUCAAAUAUUCUUCUAUGAUUUUUGAUUCGGUUUAUUGCUUAGGUUUUUCCUUUUCUAUUUUUCUCUUCUCUUUUUCCAGGUCUGGUUUUUCUUAUGUCUUCCUUCCUUUAUUAUCUUUAUAUAUUUUUUGUACUGUAAAAAAGUUUCUAAUAUGAGUGAAUAUUUUUUAAACAUACACUGGACAUUUUUUGAUAUACAUUGAACAUGUUUUCGUGACGAAAUAAAAAGGUUAGGUUAUAAAACAUAACAGGUUUGUAAGGACUAAAGUGUAAAGGGGAAAACAAAAACUGGGAAAACGACGCGGUCGCCUCUCNNNNNNNNNNNNNNNNNNNNNNNNNNNNNNNNNNNNNNNNNNNNNNNNNNNNNNNNNNNNNNNNNNNNNNNNNNNNNNNNNNNNNNNNNNNNNNNNNNNNNNNNNNNNNNNNNNNNNNNNNNNNNNNNNNNNNNNNNNNNNNNNNNNNNNNNNNNNNNNNNNNNNNNNNNNNNNNNNNNNNNNNNNNNNNNNNNNNNNNNNNNNNNNNNNNNNNNNNNNNNNNNNNNNNNNNNNNNNNNNNNNNNNNNNNNNNNNNNNNNNNNNNNNNCAAAGAUAGAGUGAAUUCACAUUUUACCUCAUGAAUGCGAUGACACUUUCUAAAUUUUUACCAAGUGCAGUCGAAAUUUCUCCAAACUACUUAUUUAAGCAACUUUGUUCUCCCCUAAAAUUUGCCCUCGGUUUUAUCUCGUUAACAAUUAUAUCAUUGUUUUGUCAAAUGCGUCUCACUAUCGGGGUUGAUCAGUGGCGCGGGAUACUGUAUCCAGGUGUGUCUAGGGCACAUCUAGAUGUGCUCUAAUUAUUGCACAUCUAAAUGAGUGAAUCAAGUAUAAAGAGAAAAAAAAUAUUCACACGAAUCUCAAUGUAAAAUCAAUGACAUAUGACUUAGAUGUGCAAUACUUAUGGCACAUCUAGAUGUGCUUUAGCAAAAUUGUACCCCUUAACUAGUGAUUUCAUUGUUCUCUUGAACCAUUUGUUGUUCAAAGAUAGAGCAAAAUUCACGUUUUACCUCCUGAAUGCGAUGACACUUUCUACAUUUUUACCAAGUGUAGUCAAAAUUUCUCCAAACUAAUUUGAGCAACUUUGCUCUCCCCUUAAAAAAAAGCAAAUUUCCCUAGGUUUUACUCCCUCCGUCCGAAAAUACUUGUCAUCAUAAUGGAUAGAAAGAGACGUAUCUACUAUCUUGUUAACAAUCAUAUCAUUGUUUUGUCAAAUGCAUCUCACUGUCUGGGCCGAACAGAGGUAAUUCCUCAGGGUGCCUGAAUAAUCCUGCUUAGCAGCAGUAGCACACUUCGUUCUCGAUAAUAAGAAACAGAAAAACAGCAUCACGCUUCCUCCUGUCGCCAGAAGCACGCCUCUGACUCUGAACCCAUGUGAGCUUCUACAUCAAUGUUGCCUGAUAGCUUGCUUGAAUCAAUAGCCACAUGCUAAAUUUACGUUGUCGCCAGAGUCAUCUAUAUUUACAGGGCUUAACUAUAAAAAUAGGCUGAUUAAAAUUGGUACAAAUAUUAUGUCAAUUUGUAAGAAAAGGCGUACACCAGCAGGUUGACGCGUGGAAGACCCAAAAUAAGCACUUCUAUAGAAAGGUGCAGCAUCAGGCGUCAAAAUGCAAGAUGGAUCAUGAACCAAUAGAGAGAAUUGAUUCAACUAUAUAUUUCUAUAAACAACUCAGGGUCGCCUGCGCAUGCAUACGCACCGUCGAUGAGACCCUCGACCAAGGCGCUCACUCUAAUUGUCCAAUCUCAAACUCGCUCCACCAAUCUCACCACCCAAUUAUCAGAAACAGGGUGUGUGCCUAGCAAGAAUACAUAAUAAUAAAUCAUGGAUACUAAUCAGGCAUGAUUUAG
Molecule: long non-coding RNA, 10393 nt
Filed under: Triticum aestivum (bread wheat)
Lineage: Eukaryota; Viridiplantae; Streptophyta; Magnoliopsida; Poales; Poaceae
Description: long non-coding RNA (TAES_LNC014417)
Source: RNAcentral